Molecule: ribosomal RNA, 468 nt
Filed under: uncultured bacterium
Lineage: Bacteria
Description: partial 16S ribosomal RNA
Rfam family: Bacterial small subunit ribosomal RNA
Source: RNAcentral
GACGAACGCUGGCGGCGUGCUUAACACAUGCAAGUCGAACGGAAAGGCCCUGCUUUUGUGGGGUUCUCGAGUGGCGAACGGGUGAGUAACACGUGAGUAACCUGCCCUUGACUUUGGGAUAACUUCAGGAAACUGGGGCUAAUACCGGAUAGGAUCUCCUGCUGCAUGGUGGGGGUUGGAAAGUUUCGGCUGUUGGGGCUGGACUCGCGGCUUAUCAGCUUGUUGGUGGGGUAGUGGCUUACCAAGGCUUUGACGGGUAGCCGGCCUGAGAGGGUGACCGGCGACAUUGGGACUGAGAUACGGCGCAGACUCGUACGGGAGGCAGCAGUGGGGAAUAUUGCACAAUGGGCGGAAGCCUGAUGCAGCAACGCCGCGUGCGGGAUGACGGCCUUCGGGUUGUAAACCGCUUUCGCCUGUGACGAAGCGUGAGUGACGGUAAUGGGUAAAGAAGCACCGGCUAACUACGUG